RNAcentral lists this ribosomal RNA (433 nucleotides) under uncultured bacterium. RNAcentral describes it as "partial 16S ribosomal RNA". It matches the Rfam family "Bacterial small subunit ribosomal RNA", at positions 29 to 507 of the family's 1533-position model. The record is from RNAcentral.
AACGAACGCUGGCGGCAUGCCUAACACAUGCAAGUCGAACGAGACCUUCGGGUCUAGUGGCGCACGGGUGCGUAACGCGUGGGAAUCUACCCUCAGGUUCGGAAUAACUCAGAGAAAUUUGAGCUAAUACCGGAUGAUGACGUAAGUCCAAAGAUUUAUCGCCUGAGGAUGAGCCCGCUUAGGAUUAGGUAGUUGGUGAGGUAAAGGCUCACCAAGCCGACGAUCCUUAGCUGGUCUGAGAGGAUGAUCAGCCACACUGGGACUGAGACACGGCCCAGACUGCUACGGGAGGCAGCAGUGGGGAAUAUUGGACAAUGGGCGAAAGCCUGAUCCAGCAAUGCCGCGUGAGUGAUGAAGGCCUUAGGGUUGUAAAGCUCUUUUACCCGGGAUGAUAAUGACAGUACCGGGAGAAUAAGCACCGGCUAACUCCGUG